Molecule: transfer RNA, 72 nt
Filed under: Bos taurus (domestic cattle)
Lineage: Eukaryota; Metazoa; Chordata; Mammalia; Artiodactyla; Bovidae
Also listed under: 1 other name
Rfam family: tRNA
About the family: Transfer RNA (tRNA) molecules are approximately 80 nucleotides in length.
Source: Rfam by way of RNAcentral
UCCCUAGUAGCUCAGAUGGUAAAUUAUCUGCCUGCAAUGCGGAAGACCCAGGUUCAAUCCCUGGGUUGGGAA